CCGAGUGAGGUGUACAUUGCUGUCCUGCAGAGAUCCAGGCUGCACGCAGCGGACUGGGCAGGCCGGGCCCGGGCACUGGUGGGUGACAGUCAUACUUCAUGGAGCCCAGCGAGCAUCCCGGGCAAGCACUACCAGGCCGUGGGUCUGCACCUCUGGAAGGUGGAGAAGCGGCGGGUCAAUCUGCCUAGGGUCCUGUCCACGCCCCCCGUGGCUGGCACCGCGUGCCACGCAUACGACCGGGAGGUCCACCUGCGUUGUGAGCUCUCACCAGGCUACUACCUGGCUGUCCCCAGCACCUUCCUGAAGGAUGUGCCAGGGGAGUUCCUGCUCCGAGUCUUCUCUACCGGGCGAGUCUCCCUUAGGUGAGAGGAACCGCGCAGUGCUGCUGGCUCUCCGAGGCCGCAGCCUCUGGAGGACCACAGGCCCUUCCAAGACAGGAUUUGGGCACUUUGCGUCUGUGGUUGGCAGGUGUCCACGUGGGGACUGAGGCCGCCGGGAACCUGCUGCCAGCGCCCUCCCAUGUUUGUCUUCUUGGCAGCGCUAUCAGGGCAGUGGCCAAG
RNAcentral lists this small RNA (560 nucleotides) under Pongo abelii (Sumatran orangutan). RNAcentral's name for it is "retained intron". The record is from RNAcentral. Lineage: Eukaryota; Metazoa; Chordata; Mammalia; Primates; Hominidae.